UUUUAUUUGAGAGUUUGAUCCUGGCUCAGGAUGAACGCUGGCGGCGUGCCUAACACAUGCAAGUUGAGCGAUUUACUUCGGUAAAGAGCGGCGGACGGGUGAGUAACGCGUGGGUAACCUACCCUGUACACACGGAUAACAUACCGAAAGGUAUGCUAAUACGGGAUAAUAUAUUUGAGAGGCAUCUCUUAAAUAUCAAAGGUGAGCCAGUACAGGAUGGACCCGCGUCUGAUUAGCUAGUUGGUAAGGUAACGGCUUACCAAGGCGACGAUCAGUAGCCGACCUGAGAGGGUGAUCGGCCACAUUGGAACUGAGACACGGUCCAAACUCCUACGGGAGGCAGCAGUGGGGAAUAUUGCACAAUGGGCGAAAGCCUGAUGCAGCAACGCCGCGUGAGUGAUGAAGGCCUUCGGGUCGUAAAACUCUGUCCUCAAGGAAGAUAAUGACGGUACU
RNAcentral lists this ribosomal RNA (453 nucleotides) under Clostridioides difficile. RNAcentral describes it as "bacterial SSU rRNA". It matches the Rfam family "Bacterial small subunit ribosomal RNA", at positions 1 to 479 of the family's 1533-position model. The record is from RNAcentral. Lineage: Bacteria; Bacillati; Bacillota; Clostridia; Peptostreptococcales; Peptostreptococcaceae.